RNAcentral lists this ribosomal RNA (600 nucleotides) under uncultured bacterium. RNAcentral's name for it is "bacterial SSU rRNA". It matches the Rfam family "Bacterial small subunit ribosomal RNA", at positions 734 to 1338 of the family's 1533-position model. The record is from RNAcentral.
CCUUUACUGACGCUAAAGCUCGAAGGUGCGGGUAUCGAACAGGAUUAGAUACCCUGGUAGUCCGCACGGUAAACGAUGGAUGCCCGCUGUUUGCGAUAUAGUGUGAGCGGCCAAGAGAAAUCGUUAAGCAUCCCACCUGGGGAGUACGCCGGCAACGGUGAAACUCAAAGGAAUUGACGGGGGCCCGCACAAGCGGAGGAACAUGUGGUUUAAUUCGAUGAUACGCGAGGAACCUUACCCGGGCUUGAACUGCAGCGGAAGGAUACAGAGAUGUUGACGCCCUUCGGGGCCGCUGUGGAGGUGCUGCAUGGUUGUCGUCAGCUCGUGCCGUGAGGUGUCGGCUUAAGUGCCAUAACGAGCGCAACCCUUUUCGUCAGUUGCCAUCAGGUGAUGCUGGGCACUCUGGCGACACUGCCACCGUAAGGUGUGAGGAAGGUGGGGAUGACGUCAAAUCAGCACGGCCCUUACGUCCGGGGCUACACACGUGUUACAAUGGGGCAUACAGAAGGCCGGUCGCCCGCAAGAGCGGUCAAAUCUUAAAAGUGUCCCUCAGUUCGGAUUGGGGUCUGCAACCCGACCCCAUGAAGCUGGAUUCGCUAG